UGGGGAAUAUUGGACAAUGGGCGAAAGCCUGAUCCAGCCAUGCCGCGUGUGUGAAGAAGGUCUUCGGAUUGUAAAGCACUUUAAGUUGGGAGGAAGGGCAUUAACCUAAUACGUUAGUGUUUUGACGUUACCGACAGAAUAAGCACCGGCUAACUCUGUGCCAGCAGCCGCGGUAAUACAGAGGGUGCAAGCGUUAAUCGGAAUUACUGGGCGUAAAGCGCGCGUAGGUGGUUUGUUAAGUUGGAUGUGAAAUCCCCGGGCUCAACGUGGGAACUGCAUUCAAAACUGACUGACUAGAGUAUGGUAGAGGGUGGUGGAAUUUCCUGUGUAGCGGUGAAAUGCGUAGAUAUAGGAAGGAACACCAGUGGCGAAGGCGACCACCUGGACUAAUACUGACACUGAGGUGCGAAAGCGUGGGGAGCAAACA
RNAcentral lists this ribosomal RNA (427 nucleotides) under uncultured bacterium. RNAcentral describes it as "partial 16S ribosomal RNA". It matches the Rfam family "Bacterial small subunit ribosomal RNA", at positions 355 to 774 of the family's 1533-position model. The record is from RNAcentral.